Molecule: long non-coding RNA, 777 nt
Organism: Panicum virgatum (switchgrass)
Lineage: Eukaryota; Viridiplantae; Streptophyta; Magnoliopsida; Poales; Poaceae
Exons: 2
Source: RefSeq, a predicted model, not a curated record
CUCAGGCUCAGGCUCCUGUGCCAAGGUUCAUGGUGUUGGUGCCGCUCGGAGGUAAAGUGUGGAUAGGAUAGCAUAGCUAUCUAGCUUCUAUGUUUGAAUGUGUGCCUUCAUUACUGUUAAUUACAUAUCAUGUAUGUUUCUCUCUGGUCAGCUUCAACAUCCGUACUGGUGGCAGGAUAAUAGAAGAUAAACAUCAGGUUUAGUGUGGUUUGUUCCAAAAAUCAUUUCUGGACGGAAGCUUUUCUCCUAUCCAUCUACUGACUGAUCACUUAGUUUAGUAGUUAGAAUUGGAAAUUAUGUCUUUUCUGUACGUGCUGCAGUUCUUAGUUCCUGAUGCCAAAUUAACGUCCCGGUCUGCUCUACGAUUCUCAAAAAUUUAGAGAGUUAAUAACCUUGCUUCCUCAUGGUGUGUUUCAGCAGUGGAGGCUUGGUGGUGGGUCAAGCAGUGGUGGCACUGGUGCGAGGCAAUGACGAGCUGCUGUAGAUGCCAAACUACUUCCAUGGUUGCUGAAACUCCCAAAGCUGGUGUGUUAGAGAGAUUUUCAGAGCUGAGUUUUUUAUGAUAUAGCUCUGAAUUCAUUUCAUGCGAGUUGGGUAGCGUUAACUCAAAGGGCCAAUGAUUUCUCUGAGAUUCAGAAGCAAUAUUAAAUUCAUUCCAUAACGGAUCAUACCGUGCCCUUGUUGCUCAUCGUGGUGCUUGCAAAAUAUUGAGUGCUUACUGAUAAGAUUACUAACAUGUUCUGGAAUGAAUGUGUCGAUCUAAUAUGAAACGACUUA